CGAGAUUCUAUCCUAUUAAUUAGUAGGCGGAUCGUUUAAAACUUUUUACGAGGCGUUUCGGGCUGAAUCGCUGUUACUAACACUCUGUGUAUAUCCUAAGAGCAAGCUGACACUUUACUGCUACCGUAAUAUAAUGCGCGCCAGUCUGGGCCAUUGGUAGAUUUGUUGUGAUGUCGGUGAGGGACGAGGUAACAUGGGGGAUAAAUGACACGAUUCAUCACCCGUUUCUUUCUCUAAAAGAAAAUACGUCCGUCUUAUAAAAAUUCUUCUUAAAGGCAUAAAUGGCGAACCCUAGCCAAACGAGAAAGAGCAAUAACAGGUCUGUGAUGCCCUUAGAUGUCCUGGGCAGCACGCGCGCUACAAUGUAGUGCUCAACGUGCCAUUAUUUUCCAUAAAUAAGCCAUUUCUGAAAAGAUAUGGGAACCAUCGUAACACACUACAUGGUUGGGAUUGGUAAUUGUAAUUAUUUGCCAUGAACCAGGAAUUCCUAGUAAAACGUGGAUCAUUCAGUUCGCGUUGAUUAAGUCCCUGCCCUUUGUACACACCGCCCGUCGCUACUACCGAUUGAAUGGUUAAGUAAGGUCAUUGGACUAUCACUUUAUAAACGUUAUACGAGUCGUCUCUCUAUGACAUAUAAAAGUUGAUAGGAAGAUGUCCGAAUUGGAUCAUUUAGAGGAAGUAAA
This 683-nucleotide ribosomal RNA is filed under the name Jaera italica. RNAcentral describes it as "SSU rRNA". It matches the Rfam family "Eukaryotic small subunit ribosomal RNA", at positions 1336 to 1786 of the family's 1831-position model. The record is from RNAcentral. Lineage: Eukaryota; Metazoa; Arthropoda; Malacostraca; Isopoda; Janiridae.